UACAAGCAGUGGGAGCACCUUCGGGUGUGACUGCGUACCUUUUGUUUAAUGGGUCAGCGACUUAUAUUCUGUAGCAAGGUUAACCGUAUAGGGGAGCCGCAGGGAAACCGAGUCUUAACUGGGCGUUAAGUUGCAGGGUAUAGACCCGAAACCCGGUGAUCUAGCCAUGGGCAGGUUGAAGGUUGGGUAACACAAACUGGAGGACCGAACCGACUAAUGUUGAAAAAUUAGCGGAUGACUUGUGGCUGGGGGUGAAAGGCCAAUCAAACCGGGAGAUAGCUGGUUCUCCCCGAAAGCUAUUUAGGUAGCGC
Molecule: ribosomal RNA, 311 nt
Filed under: Klebsiella pneumoniae
Lineage: Bacteria; Pseudomonadati; Pseudomonadota; Gammaproteobacteria; Enterobacterales; Enterobacteriaceae
Description: bacterial LSU rRNA
Rfam family: Bacterial large subunit ribosomal RNA
Source: RNAcentral